Molecule: ribosomal RNA, 385 nt
Filed under: Navicula slesvicensis
Lineage: Eukaryota; Bacillariophyta; Bacillariophyceae; Naviculales; Naviculaceae
Description: partial 18S ribosomal RNA
Rfam family: Eukaryotic small subunit ribosomal RNA
Source: RNAcentral
AUUCCAGCUCCAAUAGCGUAUAUUAAAGUUGUUGCAGUUAAAAAGCUCGUAGUUGGAUUUGUGGCGUACGAUGUGUUCCGGGCACUUGUUGUCUGAGUAACUCGUCGUUGCCAUCCUUGGGUGGAACCUGUGUGGCAUUAGGUUGUCGUGCAGGGGAUGCCCAUCGUUUACUGUGAAAAAAUUAGAGUGUUCAAAGCAGGCUUAUGCCGUUGAAUAUAUUAGCAUGGAAUAAUGAGAUAGGACUUUUUCGCUAUUUUGUUGGUUUGCGCGAAGAGGUAAUGAUUAAUAGGGACAGUUGGGGGUAUUCGUAUUCCAUUGUCAGAGGUGAAAUUCUUGGAUUUCUGGAAGACGAACUACUGCGAAAGCAUUUACCAAGGAUGUUUUC